CGGAGGAUCCAAGCGUUAUCCGGAAUCAUUGGGUUUAAAGGGUCCGUAGGCGGUUUGGUAAGUCAGUGGUGAAAGCCCAUCGCUCAACGGUGGAACGGCCAUUGAUACUGCCAGACUUGAAUUAUUAGGAAGCAACUAGAAUAUGUAGUGUAGCGGUGAAAUGCUUAGAGAUUACAUGGAAUACCAAUUGCGAAGGCAGGUUGCUACUAAUGGAUUGACGCUGAUGGACGAAAGCGUGGGUAGCGAACAAGAUUAGAUACCCUGGUAGUCCACGCCGUAAACGAUGGAUACUAGCUGUUGGGAGCGAUCUCAGUGGCUAAGCGAAAGUGAUAAGUAUCCCACCUGGGGAGUACGUUCGCAAGAAUG
Molecule: ribosomal RNA, 366 nt
Filed under: uncultured organism
Description: bacterial SSU rRNA
Rfam family: Bacterial small subunit ribosomal RNA
Source: RNAcentral